RNAcentral lists this ribosomal RNA (254 nucleotides) under uncultured bacterium. RNAcentral's name for it is "partial 16S ribosomal RNA". It matches the Rfam family "Bacterial small subunit ribosomal RNA", at positions 524 to 776 of the family's 1533-position model. The record is from RNAcentral.
CACGUAGGGUGCGAGCGUUGUCCGGAAUUAUUGGGCGUAAAGAGCUCGUAGGCGGUGUGUCGCGUCGGCCGUGAAAACCUGCAGCUUAACUGUGGGCUUGCGGUCUGUACGGGCAUCACUGGAGUUCGGCAGGGGAGACUGGAAUUCCUGGUGUAGCGGUGAAAUGCGCAGAUAUCAGGAGGAACACCGGCGGCGAAGGCAGCUCGCUGGGACGGUACUGACGCUGAGGCGCGAAAGCGUGGGGAGCGAACAGG